GAUGAACGCUAGCGAUAGGCUUAACACAUGCAAGUCGAGGGGCAGCGAGGGUAGCAAUACCUGUCGGCGACCGGCGCACGGGUGAGUAACGCGUAUGUAACCUGCCCGCAACAGGGGGAUAACCCGGCGAAAGUCGGACUAAUACCGCAUAAAACAGGGGUCCCGCAUGGGAAUAUUUGUUAAAGAUUUAUCGGCUGCGGAUGGGCAUGCGUACCAUUAGGUAGUUGGUGAGGUAACGGCUCACCAAGCCUUCGAUGGUUAGGGGUUCUGAGAGGAAGGUCCCCCACACUGGUACUGAGACACGGACCAGACUCCUACGGGAGGCAGCAGUGAGGAAUAUUGGUCAAUGGGCGAGAGCCUGAACCAGCCAAGUCGCGUGAAGGAUGACUGCCCUAUGGGUUGUAAACUUCUUUUACAAGGGAAUAAAAUGAGAUACGUGUAUUUUAUUGCAUGUACCUUGGGAAUAAGCAUCGGCUAACUCCGUG
This 485-nucleotide ribosomal RNA is filed under the name uncultured bacterium. RNAcentral describes it as "partial 16S ribosomal RNA". It matches the Rfam family "Bacterial small subunit ribosomal RNA", at positions 28 to 507 of the family's 1533-position model. The record is from RNAcentral.